RNAcentral lists this ribosomal RNA (376 nucleotides) under uncultured organism. Its description in RNAcentral is "partial 16S ribosomal RNA". It matches the Rfam family "Bacterial small subunit ribosomal RNA", at positions 527 to 897 of the family's 1533-position model. The record is from RNAcentral.
GUAGGUGGCAAGCGUUGUCCGGGAAUUAUUGGGGCGUAAAGCGCGCGCAGGCGGUUCUUUAAGUCUGAUGUGAAAGCCCACGGGCUCAACCGUGGAGGGUCAUUGGAAACUGGAGAACUUGAGUACAGAAGAGGAAAGCGGAAUUCCACGUGUAGCGGUGAAAUGCGUAGAGAUGUGGAGGAACACCUGUGGCGAAGGCGGCUUUCUGGUCUGUAACUGACGCUGAGGCGCGAAAGCGUGGGGAGCAAACAGGAUUAGAUACCCUGGUAGUCCACGCCGUAAACGAUGAGUGCUAAGUGUUAGGGGGUUUCCGCCCCUUAGUGCUGCAGCUAACGCAUUAAGCACUCCGCCUGGGGAGUACGGCCGCAAAGGCUGA